Molecule: long non-coding RNA, 1779 nt
Organism: Cyprinus carpio (common carp)
Lineage: Eukaryota; Metazoa; Chordata; Actinopteri; Cypriniformes; Cyprinidae
Source: Ensembl
UACAUUUUGAUCAGAUACCGCAUACGCCGAUAGUCAGAAGUCAAUUUAAUUACAUGAUGAGACCAUUGAUUAAAAGAUAUUGAAGCUAAAGUAAAGUUCUCUUUAAUUUUGUUGAAAACCUGUUUAUGAUUAUUAUUAUGUAUUUAUAUUAUUUAUGUAUUUAUAUUAUUUAUUUAUUUUUAUUUUUAUUUUCCAGCUAGUUUUAUCUUUAUAGUAGCUUUUGUUAACAGUAAUAAUAACCUUGCUGUGCAUUCAUAUUUCACAGUUGAAUUAAUCAAGCAGGUGAUCCUAAUAUGCUUUAUAUAUAUUUAUAUAUUUAAAGUGGCAGACAAGUGUGUGCUUGGAAUAAACAGAUGAUAUUGUCCGCUGGUAUGGACGCUUAUAUAGUUAUCUUUAUAGCUAUUUUUCUUGGUGUGAAGAGGCCUUUAAGCUUUGUUCAGUAUGGCGCAAUUACAAACUGCUCUCAGGCUGGAAUUCUACUGAGCUGGUAAAAUGCGUGUAGUGAUGACCCCACUCAGGAUUGCUCACUUGUUUGUUGUCUGGUUACUAGUUUCUGUCUGUUGCUUGCCAAGCACAAUAUUUGAGUGAAGUAAAAUAUAUGAUCAUCCUCCAUAAUGCGUCACUAUUUUCAUCUCAUACUGUAUGUAAACACUUGCGUUACCAAGUUGUAUGUACAGUUGUAUGUAUUAUUAGGAUACAGAUGUAUACUUAUUGUUCCUAUGUCUGUGUUUGUUCAGGCAAAGCUCCAGUGGCUGUGUGAGGAGGUGCGUGAGCGGGAGUUCAGAGAGAAGAGGUUGAGGAGAACACUGCAGCAGCACAAGUGGCAGAUAAAAGCACUGAAGCAAACCAAAGACUCAAAAAUGCAGAGCCUCCUGAACCACAUUACCUUGCAGGAUUGGCUUAUCAAAGACAUCCAAUCAGAGAAGAGAGGAGUCAAAUGGUGGAGCAACGUUAUGCCAAAUAUAAGGAGAUAGUUGGUGACCUCCAGCAUCAGCUUGAGGAAUCUAAGAGGAGGAUUCAGGAAUACAGCAAUAUUUUUCCGAUCAGCUUUACUAGGAACAAACUACUGGACAUCAGAAAUAGCACACCAAAUAACUUUCUGCAGACAUUUGAGCAUUCAGAUGUUUUACUGGACAUUUUAGUCGGAGGAGCUGCAUUCCUAUACAAACGCUCCAGAUGACACAAGCGAGGGAAGUGCGCUGGUGCGCUCGUUAAAUUUCGACAACGCGGAUUUAGGACGCCGCUGCCGAGCAUUCAUCUGGCGAAUCUCCGCUCUCUAGCAAAUAAUUCACACGAACUACUACUCCUCACAUGCACAAACAAGGAUUUUUAAACUCCAUUUUCAUGGAAACCUGGCUGAAUGGAGCAAUUCCGGACAGUGCUUUACAUCUAACGGGCUUCCAGCUGUUCAGAGCAGACCGCGUCACUGAGUCAUCGGGGAAAACGAGAGGUGGUGGAUUAUGUUUUUAUAUCAAUGAAGGCUGGUGUACAGAUGUGACAGUUUUAAAGAAGAUGUGCUGCCCAAAUUUGGAAGCUUUCUUCAUUAACUGCAAGCCUUUUUAUUCACCACGGGAGUUUUCCUAAUUUAUUCUGGUGAGUGUGUACAUUCCUCCUGACAUGCAUGUGAGCUACACGCUAGAACUGUUGGUCGAUCAGAUCACACACUCAGAACAACGCUAUCUAUCUUUCAUUAUCGUUUUCGGUGAUUUUAAUGAAGCUAAUCUCACCCGUGAACUGCCUAAAUAUAGACAGAACAUCACAUGCCCCACCAGAGACAGC